This is a long non-coding RNA of Lycium barbarum (goji berry), 1656 nucleotides long. RefSeq lists it as uncharacterized. Lineage: Eukaryota; Viridiplantae; Streptophyta; Magnoliopsida; Solanales; Solanaceae. The record is from RefSeq and is a predicted model, not a curated record. The transcript has 3 exons.
UUCCACGUAAGGCAACAUUGCCAAAAUAAAUGUUGCCAGAAUAUAUGUGUAAUAACCGACGUUAAACCAUUCUCUUUUUAGCUUAUCAUUUUGUUUAUUGAGAGUCAUGGCCAUGGCUGCCAAAGCUCACGGACGAGCUCAAGUUUGGAAGAAGAGAAAUUAAAUUCCAAAGGUGAUUUACAAGUUCAAGGAGAUAAUAGCAACAUUGGAUAUUGAAUCGGGGAAGAGGAAAUUGUAAAAUUGGAGCAAUUAAGAGUAGAAAUUUCUCCGAGAAAAUUAAGGUUUAUCAUAUUAAUUGUGGAAGUUCUUGGCUGGACUGAGCUCUUGAACGACGUAAGGUAUAGAUGCUCACGUUGGUAACCCGCCAGCUUAGGAGUCCUAUUCAGCUAUCUUGGAGAGCUCCCUUGUUCCGGAGCCUAGAUUUUGGUACAGAAUCUCUUGUGGUGUAUAUGUAUUUUAUCCAGGGGUACGGCGGGGCCCUGUCCCGUCAUAUGAUAUUGUUGUUACUCUUAGAGGUCUGUAGACAUAUGUGUGGGUUGUGUAUCGAUGUUGUUCAGUUGUGUCUAUAUGGCUUAUGUUUUGGGACGUUCCCAUUCGUAGUGGCAGCCUUGUCGGCUUGCGUAGAUAUAUAUAUAUAUAUAUAUAUAUAUAUAUGUGUGUGUGUGUGUGUGUGUGUGUGUGUGUGUGUGUGUGUGUGUGUGUGUAUUUUGAGAUGUAAUGUGUUACGAUAGCCUUGUCGGCUCGUUUAUGGCGGGGAUGUUCCCUUAUAUAUUAUGAAAGCCUUGUCGGCUUAUGUACUAUAAUGUCUGUUGAAAGUUGUACCUCCCCAGGAGACAGGUUGUUGUGAUACGUCUAAACAAUGCGACAGUUUUGAGACGAAGUCUUGCCUUGGUAUUAAUAAGUCUGUAUUAUGCUAGUUAUGGACGAUUAUAGUUAACAGGUGCAUACGAGUGUCCAGCUCGGGCACUAGUCACGGCCUACGGGGUUGGGUCGUGACAAAAAAGAACAUAAAAGUUCGUCUCACCAUAUAUUAUAAAAUUUCGGCUCUGAUACAAUAGUUAUUACAACCUAAAUGCAUGACACAUAUUUUCGCUUUUGAAAAUGUUCAAUUAAACAAAUAUCUUUCUUAUAAAAUAAAAAUUUCUAAGAAAAAACAAUACAAAUAUAUAAAAAAAAAUUGAGAUAGCUUUGCCGAAAAAUUAACCAAAAUCCUUUCUCUGUUUGGUAUUGUCAAUAUGUACAACUCGAGAAGGAACGAAGGAACCUGAAUAGAACUCUUGGGGAAGUGUGGUGAUAGGGCCCCGAGCAAGUUUUUUUUAGGAAUCUGGACCCCAAGUUUUAAUUAUUAUGUGAUAGGACCUCAUUGAGGAUCAAGGAUAAUUAAGUGGAGACAAGUUAUUGGGGAGUCAAAAUAAGGCCCCAAGUUUAAAAAAAUACAUUUUCGUCCAAGGAUUUAAAAAAAAAAAAAAAUAAAAUAAUAAAAUAAAAACUAUUCCAAACUUUCAAACCAGCCCCUAAGUUUUAAAAAUACCCUUUUGAUCCAAAGUAAGAAAUGAUAAAAUAAACCAAAAUAAAAAUCUAAAAAUAUAUAUUUUACCUUAUAAAAAAAAAGAAAUAUAAAAUUAUAUUCCCAUCCAUUCAUUCCCACAUUUUUUU